Molecule: ribosomal RNA, 176 nt
Filed under: uncultured bacterium
Lineage: Bacteria
Description: partial 16S ribosomal RNA
Rfam family: Bacterial small subunit ribosomal RNA
Source: RNAcentral
CCUACGGGAGGCAGCAGUGGGGAAUUUUGCGCAAUGGACGAAAGCCUGACGCAGCAACGCCGCGUGGGUGAUGAAGGUCUUCGGAUCGUAAAACCCUGUCGUCGGGGACGAAGGUGCGCGGGUUAAUAGCCUGUUUGCUUGACGGUACCCGCAGAGGAAGCCCCGGCUAAUCUGUC